GUCCAGCUGCCUGGGAGAGGCAGGGUACCACAGAGGAGCUGGCAUCCCGAGAAAGGAUGCCACCACCAGCUGGUCCCUUCCAGAGCUCUGUCUGAACUCCACCAGCCUUGCUUCUGGCCUCAUCCUGCAGACCCAGGGGACACCUCCACUUGCAAGUUCAGUCCAUGGGCACUGCACACUCUCUCGGCCCCAAGUUGAACCCCUUUUCCUCACCCAACAUCCUCCAUUUCAACAAAUGGCAGCGUUGUGGGUAAAAUAACACCUCCUUCAGAGACAUUGACAUCCUCAUCCCUGACUUCGGCUGCAGCUCAGUGGUGCAAUCUCAGCUCAUUGCAACUUCCACCUCCCAGGAUGAAGCAAUCCUCCCACCUCAGCCUCUCCAGUAGCUGAGACUUCAAGCUCCCUCCAGCAGCCGAGCUGAUUUUUGUAUUUUUUUAUAGAGAUGGGGUUUCACCAUGUUGCCCAGGCUGGUGUCAAAUCCCUGGGCUCAAGUAAUCUGCCCACCUCGACCUCCCAAAGUGCUGGGAUUGCCUGCGUGAGCCCCAUCCCCGGCCUGCUCAUUUCCUUCUAGUGCUGAAGAAUAUUCCGAUGUCUGGAUAGACCACAGUUUGUCUGUCCACUCACCUCUAGGCAGACAUCUUGGUUGCUUCCAGUUUUUAGUGACGGUGAAUAAAACUGCUCUAAACAUUCGUGUGCAGGUGUUGGUGUGAACAUAAGUUUUCAACUCAUUUAUCGAGUGGCUGCACCGUUUUGCAGUUCCGCCAGCAACGCAUGAGACUUCCUGUUGCCGCACGCCCACCCCGGCAUUUGGCGUUGUCAGUGUUUUGGAUUUUGGCCAUUCUUACAGUUCUAGGGUACAGGUGCACAACGUGCAGGUUUGUUACAUAUGUAUACAUGUGCCACAUUGGUGUGCUGCGGAGCAGAGUUCUUAAGGACAACUUGGCGGUACGGGGAAGCCAGUGAGGCAGGAGUGCUGAUUGGCCAGGGAUGAAAUCACAGAGGGUUGGAGCUGUCUUCUUGCGGCCUAAUUCAGUCCCCCAUGCCAGGCAGGACCAGGGCACACGAGAAUGGUGAAGUCCUGGGGCAACUGUCACCAUGGCCUCUGCAGGCUCAGUGUCGGGAGACCCAGUUUCUGACCUGGAUACACUGCUCACCUUUGAGGUCGGGGCCUAGAGGGACGGUGCCACGUUGGAGACAGGCCUCCAGGGACAGUGCCACGUUGAAGACGGGGUUCCAGGGACGGUGCCACGUUAGAGAUGGGGUUCCAGGGACAGUGCCACGUUGAAGACGGGGUUCCAGGGACGGUGCCACGUUGGAGAUGGGGUUCCAGGGAUGGUGCCACAUUGGAGAUGGGCAAGUCUGGGCUAAGGGAGGAGGGCCCAGGGUGGCCAGGGCAGGGCCCAGUGAGGUGCUGCUCUGAGGAGGUGGAGAGUGGGCGCUUGGGCAGGGGACACUUGGAGAGUAAGGAUGAGGUCCAUCUGGGUACCCUGGGUAUAGGGAGUGUUGUUGAAAAAAAGCCAAACACUAUAAAAUAUUUGAAGAUAUUUAUUCUGAGCAAAUGUGAGGACUAUGACCUGUGAAACCACCUCAGCAGGUCCUGAGAAUAUGUGAGCAAGGUGGCUGGGUAACAGCUUGGCUUUAUACUUUUUUUUAAAAUUUUCAGGUCUUUUCUGUAGAGACAGGGUCUCACCAUGUUGCCCAGGCUGAUCUCAAGCUCUUCAGCUCAAGCAAUGCUCCCACCUUGGCCUCCGAGUAUGCUGGGAUUAUAGGCAACAGUCACCAUGCCCGGCCUGGUUUUACGGAUUUUACAGAGACAGAUGUUACAGGCCAAAACCAUAAAUCAACAUAUGUAAGAUAUACAUUGGUUCAGCCUAGAAACAGGGUUGGCAGGGGCAGCUUCCAGGUCAUAGGGGAUUCAAAGAUUUCCUGAUUGGCAAGUGGUUGAAAGAGUUAUGUUUUGCCUAAAGAGUUAAAGUGGGAUUACUCACGCCUGUAAUCCCAGCACUUUGGAAGGCUGAGGCAGGCAGAUCACCUGAGGUCAGGAGUUCGAGACCAGCCUGGCCAACAUGGUGAAACACCAUCUCUACUAAAAAUACAAAACAUAUAUACACAUAUACAUGUAUAUAUAUAUACACAUAUACAUGUAUAUAUAUACACAUAUACAUGUAUAUAUAUACACAUAUACAUGUAUAUAUAUACACAUAUACAUGUAUAUAUAUACACAUAUACAUGUAUAUAUAUACACAUAUAUACACAUAUACAUGUAUAUAUACACAUAUAUACACAUAUACAUAUAUGUAUAUACAUAUAUAGUGUAUAUAUAUACGUAUAUAUAUGUGUAUAUAUACACUAUAUAUGUGUGUGUGUGUAUAUAUAUAUAUACAUACGUGUGUGUAUAUAUACAUAUUAGCCAGGCGUGGUAGCACGCGCCUGUAAUCCCAGCUACUUAGGAGGCUGAGGCAGGAGAAUCGCUUGAACCCAGGAGGUAGAGGUUGCAGUGAGCCGAGAUCAUGCCACUGCACUCCAGCCUGGGCCACAGAGCGAGAUUCUGUCUCAAAAAAAAAAAAAAAAAAAAAAGAGUUGACGUGAGUGGACAAAAGGUGCCCGACCUCCUAAGGGAAGGAGCUUCUCUAGAAAACGCGAAUUUCGCCCCCUCAAGAGACAGCUGUGCAGUGCCAUAUCAAAACAUGUGAAAGGAAUGUAUUUUAGGGUGGAAUACUUUGCCUGCCUUCGGGCCUGCUGUCUGCCACGUGAGGCUGUGCCAGUGUGAGGCUGGAAUUUGGGAUCUGGAGGCUAGAGCCAUCGGUGAGGCCUGAGUCUCUAAGCACAGCGCCCAGAGGGAGAGGGCGGAGCGGGUCCGACCCCCUUUGCGGCAGGGCCUGAGCUGGUUUUCCAGGUUUCUCUGGAAGCCCUGUAGAGGAGCGGAGGGUCCAUUCGGUGGGCUGGGGACUUUGAAUUUAACCUUGGUUUGCAAGAGGCUUCCAGAGAGGAUGUCUGGGAGCGUCUCGGAGGGGGACGAGGGGGCGCCGGGAGGAGCAGGUGCAGGAGCCCACGGCGCAGCGCCCCGCGCAGGCCUGGACGCGGGGACGGCCGCGGCGGCCGGGACAGGGGUCACCCCGCGGGGCCCUCCAGGGUGGGCCGCCCCACGACCCCAGGC
This 3157-nucleotide long non-coding RNA is filed under the name Homo sapiens (human). RNAcentral describes it as "HSALNT0360990". The stretch from base 2410 to 2557 matches the Rfam family "Metazoan signal recognition particle RNA". The record is from RNAcentral. Lineage: Eukaryota; Metazoa; Chordata; Mammalia; Primates; Hominidae.